GACGAACGCUGGCGGCGUGCCUAAUACAUGCAAGUUGAGCGCUGAAGGUUGGUACUUGUACCAACUGGAUGAGCAGCGAACGGGUGAGUAACGCGUGGGGAAUCUGCCUUUGAGCGGGGGACAACAUUUGGAAACGAAUGCUAAUACCGCAUAAAAACUUUAAACACAAGUUUUAAGUUUGAAAGAUGCAAUUGCAUCACUCAAAGAUGAUCCCGCGUUGUAUUAGCUAGUUGGUGAGGUAAAGGCUCACCAAGGCGAUGAUACAUAGCCGACCUGAGAGGGUGAUCGGCCACAAUGGGACUGAGACACGGCCCAAACUCCUACGGGAGGCAGCAGUAGGGAAUCUUCGGCAAAGGACGAAAGUCUGACCGAGCAACGCCGCGGGAGGGAAGAAAGUUUUCAGGUCGUAAAACUCUGUUGGUAGGGAAGAACGUUGGUGAGAGUGGAAAGCUCAUCAAGUGACGGUAACUACCCAGAAAGGGACGGCUAACUACGUG
RNAcentral lists this ribosomal RNA (497 nucleotides) under uncultured bacterium. RNAcentral's name for it is "partial 16S ribosomal RNA". It matches the Rfam family "Bacterial small subunit ribosomal RNA", at positions 28 to 507 of the family's 1533-position model. The record is from RNAcentral.